RNAcentral lists this ribosomal RNA (254 nucleotides) under Rasopone ferruginea. RNAcentral describes it as "partial 28S ribosomal RNA". The record is from RNAcentral. Lineage: Eukaryota; Metazoa; Arthropoda; Insecta; Hymenoptera; Formicidae.
UAAUAUUAAAGUUCGUCCGUGGUGCCGCCCAGAGAACGGAAAGGGGCCCAGGCCUUCGGAACGGGGACACGGAACGGGGGGAGANAGAGGUGCCUACCGCGCCUCGUNCAUUAGCCGAGGCUCUUGGGAUUAGAUUAGAAUUUGUUAGGGGCGUCUCUUCGGCGGUAACUUCGUCCCAGGAACGCUGCCAGUUUUGUUUCAUCGNCCACGGGCGUGAGAGCUUUUCNGAAACUUUAUUACAGGAAGUUCCGUCG